RNAcentral lists this ribosomal RNA (301 nucleotides) under uncultured bacterium. Its description in RNAcentral is "partial 16S ribosomal RNA". It matches the Rfam family "Bacterial small subunit ribosomal RNA", at positions 509 to 809 of the family's 1533-position model. The record is from RNAcentral.
CAGUCGCCGCGGUAAUGCGUAGGUGGCAAGCGUUGUCCGGAAUUAUUGGGCGUAAAGGGCUCGCAGGCGGUUUCUUAAGUCUGAUGUGAAAGCCCCCGGCUCAACCGGGGAGGGUCAUUGGAAACUGGGAAACUUGAGCGCAGAAGAGGAGAGUAGAAUUCCACGUGUAGCGGUGAAAUGCGUAGAGAUGUGGAGGAACACCAGUGGCGAAGGCGACUCUCUGGUCUGUAACUGACGCUGAGGAGCGAAAGCGUGGGGAGCGAACAGGAUUAGAGACCCGAGUAGUCCAUGUCUCUUAUAA